GCUGGUGGCCUUAGCGUCUGUGCCCCACCCGAUCCCAUCCCGAACUCGGCCGUGAAACCGGACAGCGCCGAUGGUACUACCGCUUAAGCGUUGGGAGAGUAGGUCGCUGCCAGCC
RNAcentral lists this ribosomal RNA (115 nucleotides) under Hankyongella ginsenosidimutans. The record is from RNAcentral. Lineage: Bacteria; Pseudomonadati; Pseudomonadota; Alphaproteobacteria; Sphingomonadales; Sphingomonadaceae. RNAcentral also lists the same sequence under 1 other name.